RNAcentral lists this long non-coding RNA (627 nucleotides) under Equus caballus (horse). Its description in RNAcentral is "lncRNA (ENSECAG00000049210.1)". Lineage: Eukaryota; Metazoa; Chordata; Mammalia; Perissodactyla; Equidae. The record is from RNAcentral.
UGGUGAUACAAGAUGGGAGAGAAAAAGACUGAUCUGGGAGACUUGGAAAACUUUAAGCAUGCUUAUGGAUGCAGAGAAACAAUUGGCAGAGAGAAAGGCAUAAAAGAUUAAAAAAACCAAACAAGGCCUAGAGAAAUUGAAUGACUUGCCACACAACUUUCUGGUAGCUUAAUCAGGACCUAUCUUUUCUAUAUCUCAGACCCAGGCUAAACAGGCCUGCUUAAGACCUGUGCCUGUGGCGCCUUGCACUUCCUCAUCGAACUCAGAGCAAUUGAAACGAUCAAUGUCUGCUUCCCCACCAGACUCAGAGCUCUGUGAAGACAGGGAUUUCUUGUGCCUGAUUCCUGCUGUAACCACAAUGUUGGGCUUUCCACCUGAGAUUCUGCUGUCAUACCCAAAGGCCAACAGAAUAGAAGCCAGCUUACUGUGACAUCAUAACUGAAUAAAGCUCCAUGGAGCUUUUAAAGCUAUCCAAGGAUGAGAAGAAUGAGAAGAUAUCAACAUCUUCCGUAAGAGUUCCCUCAGCACUUGACUUUGUUCAGAAUGAAGAAAUCUUAGUCAGCAUGGAAAAGAAUUACCUCACAGAUGCAACAGACAUUGUACAAUAUCUCCUGCCAAAUAAACGUU